GGGUGGGUGGCAGAGUGGUUGAUUGCACCGGUCUUGAAAACCGGCGGGCGUGAGAACGUCUCGGGAGUUCGAAUCUCCCCCCACCCGCCA
RNAcentral lists this transfer RNA (90 nucleotides) under Pelagibacterium lacus. RNAcentral describes it as "Pelagibacterium sp. XYN52 tRNA-Ser". It matches the Rfam family "tRNA". From Rfam's summary of the family: Transfer RNA (tRNA) molecules are approximately 80 nucleotides in length. Their secondary structure includes four short double-helical elements and three loops (D, anti-codon, and T loops). The record is from RNAcentral. Lineage: Bacteria; Pseudomonadati; Pseudomonadota; Alphaproteobacteria; Hyphomicrobiales; Devosiaceae.